RNAcentral lists this ribosomal RNA (451 nucleotides) under uncultured bacterium. RNAcentral's name for it is "bacterial SSU rRNA". It matches the Rfam family "Bacterial small subunit ribosomal RNA", at positions 330 to 795 of the family's 1533-position model. The record is from RNAcentral.
GCCAGACUCCUACGGGAGGCAGCAGUGGGGAAUAUUGGGCAAUGGGCGCAAGCCUGACCCAGCAACGCCGCGUGAAGGAAGAAGGCUUUCGGGUUGUAAACUUCUUUUAUGAGGGACGAAAGAAAUGACGGUACCUCAUGAAUAAGCCACGGCUAACUACGUGCCAGCAGCCGCGGUAAUACGUAGGUGGCAAGCGUUAUCCGGAUUUACUGGGUGUAAAGGGAGCGUAGACGGCAGGGCAAGCCAGAAGUGAAAACGCAGAGCUUAACUUUGCGACUGCUUUUGGAACUGCCCAGCUAGAGUACAGGAGAGGUAAGUGGAAUUCCUAGUGUAGCGGUGAAAUGCGUAGAUAUUAGGAGGAACACCAGCGGCGAAGGCGGCUUGCUGGACUGAAACUGACGCUGAGGCUCGAAAGCGUGGGGAGCAAACAGGAUUAGAUACCCGCGUAAAC